Molecule: ribosomal RNA, 252 nt
Filed under: uncultured bacterium
Lineage: Bacteria
Description: partial 16S ribosomal RNA
Rfam family: Bacterial small subunit ribosomal RNA
Source: RNAcentral
UACGUAGGUCCCGAGCGUUGUCCGGAUUUAUUGGGCGUAAAGCGAGCGCAGGUGGUUUAUUAAGUCUGGUGUAAAAGGCAGUGGCUCAACCACUGUAUGCAUUGGAAACUGGUAGCCUUGAGUGCAGGAGAGGAGAGUGGAAUUCCAUGUGUAGCGGUGAAAUGCGUAGAUAUAUGGAGGAACACCGGUGGCGAAAGCGGCUCUCUGGCCUGUAACUGACACUGAGGCUCGAAAGCGUGGGGAGCAAACAGG